This 833-nucleotide ribosomal RNA is filed under the name Salmonella enterica subsp. enterica serovar Typhimurium. RNAcentral describes it as "partial 23S ribosomal RNA". It matches the Rfam family "Bacterial large subunit ribosomal RNA", at positions 1973 to 2805 of the family's 2925-position model. Lineage: Bacteria; Pseudomonadati; Pseudomonadota; Gammaproteobacteria; Enterobacterales; Enterobacteriaceae. The record is from RNAcentral.
CGGGUAAGUUCCGACCCGCACGAAAGGUGUAACGAUUUGGGCACUGUCUCAACCAGAGACUCGGUGAAAUUAUAGUACCUGUGAAGAUGCAGGUUACCCGCGACAGGACGGAAAGACCCCGUGGAGCUUUACUGCAGCCUGAUAUUGAAUGUUGGUACAGCUUGUACAGGAUAGGUAGGAGCCUUGGAAACCGGAGCGCCAGCUUCGGUGGAGGCAUCGGUGGGAUACUACCCUGGCUGUAUUGACCUUCUAACCCGCUGCCCUUAUCGGGCAGGGAGACAGUGUCAGGUGGGCAGUUUGACUGGGGCGGUCGCCUCCUAAAAGGUAACGGAGGCGCCCAAAGGUUCCCUCAGAAUGGUUGGAAAUCAUUCGCAGAGUGUAAAGGCACAAGGGAGCUUGACUGCGAGACCUACAAGUCGAGCAGGGACGAAAGUCGGGCUUAGUGAUCCGGUGGUUCCGCAUGGAAGGGCCAUCGCUCAACGGAUAAAAGCUACCCCGGGGAUAACAGGCUUAUCUCCCCCAAGAGUCCACAUCGACGGGGAGGUUUGGCACCUCGAUGUCGGCUCAUCGCAUCCUGGGGCUGUAGUCGGUCCCAAGGGUUGGGCUGUUCGCCCAUUAAAGCGGUACGCGAGCUGGGUUUAGAACGUCGUGAGACAGUUCGGUCCCUAUCCGUCGCGGGCGCAGGAAAUUUGAGAGGAGCUGUCCUUAGUACGAGAGGACCGGGAUGGACGCACCGCUGGUGUACCAGUUGUUCUGCCAAGGGCAUCGCUGGGUAGCUAUGUGCGGACGGGAUAAGUGCUGAAAGCAUCUAAGCAUGAAGCCCCCCUCAAGAG